This 555-nucleotide ribosomal RNA is filed under the name Aspergillus oryzae. RNAcentral describes it as "eukaryotic LSU rRNA". The stretch from base 187 to 340 matches the Rfam family "5.8S ribosomal RNA". Lineage: Eukaryota; Fungi; Ascomycota; Eurotiomycetes; Eurotiales; Aspergillaceae. The record is from RNAcentral.
AUUACCGAGUGUAGGGUUCCUAGCGAGCCCAACCUCCCACCCGUGUUUACUGUACCUUAGUUGCUUCGGCGGGCCCGCCAUUCAUGGCCGCCGGGGGCUCUCAGCCCCGGGCCCGCGCCCGCCGGAGACACCACGAACUCUGUCUGAUCUAGUGAAGUCUGAGUUGAUUGUAUCGCAAUCAGUUAAAACUUUCAACAAUGGAUCUCUUGGUUCCGGCAUCGAUGAAGAACGCAGCGAAAUGCGAUAACUAGUGUGAAUUGCAGAAUUCCGUGAAUCAUCGAGUCUUUGAACGCACAUUGCGCCCCCUGGUAUUCCGGGGGGCAUGCCUGUCCGAGCGUCAUUGCUGCCCAUCAAGCACGGCUUGUGUGUUGGGUCGUCGUCCCCUCUCCGGGGGGGACGGGCCCCAAAGGCAGCGGCGGCACCGCGUCCGAUCCUCGAGCGUAUGGGGCUUUGUCACCCGCUCUGUAGGCCCGGCCGGCGCUUGCCGAACGCAAAUCAAUCUUUUUCCAGGUUGACCUCGGAUCAGGUAGGGAUACCCGCUGAACUUAAGCAUAU